AAUACAUGCAAGUCGAGCGAACAGAUAAGGAGCUUGCUCCUUUGACGUUAGCGGCGGACGGGUGAGUAACACGUGGGUAACCUACCUAUAAGACUGGGAUAACUUCGGGAAACCGGAGCUAAUACCGGAUAACAUUUGGAACCGCAUGGUUCUAAAGUGAAAGAUGGUUUUGCUAUCACUUAUAGAUGGACCCGCGCCGUAUUAGCUAGUUGGUAAGGUAACGGCUUACCAAGGCGACGAUACGUAGCCGACCUGAGAGGGUGAUCGGCCACACUGGAACUGAGACACGGUCCAGACUCCUACGGGAGGCAGCAGUAGGGAAUCUUCCGCAAUGGGCGAAAGCCUGACGGAGCAACGCCGCGUGAGUGAUGAAGGGUUUCGGCUCGUAAAACUCUGUUAUUAGGGAAGAACAAAUGUGUAAGUAACUGUGCACAUCUUGACGGUACCUAAUCAGAAAGCCACGGCUAACUACGUGCCAGCAGCCGCGGUAAUACGUAGGUGGCAAGCGUUAUCCGGAAUUAUUGGGCGUAAAGCGCGCGUAGGCGGUUUCUUAAGUCUGAUGUGAAAGCCCACGGCUCAACCGUGGAGGGUCAUUGGAAACUGGGAAACUUGAGUGCAGAAGAGGAAAGUGGAAUUCCAUGUGUAGCGGUGAAAUGCGCAGAGAUAUGGAGGAACACCAGUGGCGAAGGCGACUUUCUGGUCUGUAACUGACGCUGAUGUGCGAAAGCGUGGGGAUCAAACAGGAUUAGAUACCCUGGUAGUCCACGCCGUAAACGAUGAGUGCUAAGUGUUAGGGGGUUUCCGCCCCUUAGUGCUGCAGCUAACGCAUUAAGCACUCCGCCUGGGGAGUACGACCGCAAGGUUGAAACUCAAAGGAAUUGACGGGGACCCGCACAAGCGGUGGAGCAUGUGGUUUAAUUCGAAGCAACGCGAAGAACCUUACCAAAUCUUGACAUCCUUUGAAAACUCUAGAGAUAGAGCCUUCCCCUUCGGGGGACAAAGUGACAGGUGGUGCAUGGUUGUCGUCAGCUCGUGUCGUGAGAUGUUGGGUUAAGUCCCGCAACGAGCGCAACCCUUAAGCUUAGUUGCCAUCAUUAAGUUGGGCACUCUAGGUUGACUGCCGGUGACAAACCGGAGGAAGGUGGGGAUGACGUCAAAUCAUCAUGCCCCUUAUGAUUUGGGCUACACACGUGCUACAAUGGACAAUACAAAGGGCAGCUAAACCGCGAGGUCAUGCAAAUCCCAUAAAGUUGUUC
This 1256-nucleotide ribosomal RNA is filed under the name Staphylococcus saprophyticus. RNAcentral's name for it is "bacterial SSU rRNA". It matches the Rfam family "Bacterial small subunit ribosomal RNA", at positions 50 to 1287 of the family's 1533-position model. Lineage: Bacteria; Bacillati; Bacillota; Bacilli; Caryophanales; Staphylococcaceae. The record is from RNAcentral.